Molecule: long non-coding RNA, 560 nt
Filed under: Callithrix jacchus (white-tufted-ear marmoset)
Lineage: Eukaryota; Metazoa; Chordata; Mammalia; Primates; Cebidae
Description: lncRNA (ENSCJAG00000080100.1)
Source: RNAcentral
CUUUCAGCCUCCUGGGAGCCUGGUCAUGACCCACAGAGACCACACCAGCUGUGGCCAGAGGGAUGGCCUGUGGCAAGGUAGCUGGUGCCUGCGCAAGCCUAUGAGAGCGUCGUGUCUGUGGAUACCCAGGUGCCUGCUUCCCCUUUGCCUUCUGCCUUGAUUGUAAGUUUCCUGAGGCCUCCCAGCCAUGCUUCCUGUUAAGCCUGUGAAACUGUGUGCUUGGCUGGGCAGCCUCUGAAGUCUAUGUGAGCCCUCACCCUGGGCCUUUUCUACUUGGGCCCGUGCCUCUAUUCUCUGCAACUGGGCUGAGCUCAGCUGUGCUGAGUAGUGGAAGAGAGUGGUGGGGAAUCACUCUAUGGAUGAACAAAGCUGCAGACAGCUUGGACCUGCAGGAAAGAUAGCAGAGGGUGAGUCUCCAUUCGGGGCCAGUCUUAGCUGGGUCAUCUGAGGGGCCUAGAGGGCUGCAAGAGGAGGACUGCUAAGUGGUUCAUUUGGCAGAGGGGUUCCCAAGAGUGGGCAGGAAUGCAGGUGGGGAGGAGUGGGGAGUCCAGGCAAGGGCC